This 499-nucleotide ribosomal RNA is filed under the name uncultured bacterium. Its description in RNAcentral is "partial 16S ribosomal RNA". It matches the Rfam family "Bacterial small subunit ribosomal RNA", at positions 29 to 523 of the family's 1533-position model. The record is from RNAcentral.
AUUGAACGCUGGCGGCAUGCCUUACACAUGCAAGUCGAACGGCAGCACGGGAGCAAUCCUGGUGGCGAGUGGCGAACGGGUGAGUAAUAUAUCGGAACGUGCCCAGUCGUGGGGGAUAACGCAGCGAAAGCUGUGCGAAUACCGCAUACGAUCUAAGGAUGAAAGCGGGGGACCGCAAGACCUCGCGCGAUUGGAGCGGCCGAGAUCAGAUUAGCAAGUUGGCGGGGUAAAGGCCCACCAAGGGGACGAUCUGUAGCUGGUCUGAGAGGGCGACAGCCACACUGGAGCUGAGACACGGUCCAGACUCCUACGGGAGGCAGCAGUGGGGAAUUUUGGACAAUGGGCGCAAGCCUGAUCCAGCAAUGCCGCGUGCAGGAUGAAGGCCUUCGGGUUGUAAACUGCUUUUGUACGGAACGAAACGGCCCUUUCUAAUACAGGGGGCUAAUGACGGUACCGUAAGAAUAAGCACCGGCUAACUACGUGCCAGCCGCCGCGGUAA